UGUGUAGGCGGCUCUCUAAGUUUGGUGUGAAAUCUCCCGGCUCAACCGGGAGGGUGCGCCGAAAACUGGGGGGGCUAGAGUGCGGGAUGGGAGAGUAGAAUUCCUGGUGUAGCGGUGAAAUGCGUAGAUAUCAGGAGGAAUACCGGUGGUGUAGACGGCUCUCUGGACCGCAACUGACGCUGAAACACGAAAGCGUGGGUAGCAAACAGGAUUAGAUACCCUGGUAGUCCACGCCCUAAACGAUGCAUAUUUGGUGUAGGUCAUUCAGUUGAUCUGUGCCGGAGCUAACGCGUUAAAUAUGCCGCCUGGGGAGUACAGUCGCAAGGCUGAA
This 331-nucleotide ribosomal RNA is filed under the name uncultured bacterium. Its description in RNAcentral is "bacterial SSU rRNA". It matches the Rfam family "Bacterial small subunit ribosomal RNA", at positions 568 to 898 of the family's 1533-position model. The record is from RNAcentral.